UGGGGGAUAUUGCACAAUGGGCGAAAGCCUGAUGCAGCGACGCCGCGUGGGGGAUGAAGGCCUUCGGGUUGUAAACUUCUUUUGCUCUGAACAAGGCGCACCAUGGGGUGUGUUGAGUGUAGGGGGUGAUUAGCGCCGGCUAACUACGUGCCAGCAGCCGCGGUAAUACGUAGGGCGCGAGCGUUGUCCGGAAUUAUUGGGCGUAAAGGGCUUGUAGGUGGCUGGUUGCGUCUGUCGUGAAAGCUCAUGGCUUAACUGUGGGUUUGCGGUUGAUACGGGCUGGCUUGAGUGCAGUAGAGGAGACUGGAAUUCCUGGUGUAGCGGUGGAAUGCGCAGAUAUCAGGAGGAAUACCGGUGGCGAAGGCGGGUCUCUGGGCUGUUACUGACACUGAGGAGCGAAAGCAUGGGGAGCGAACAGG
This 419-nucleotide ribosomal RNA is filed under the name bacterium. Its description in RNAcentral is "partial 16S ribosomal RNA". It matches the Rfam family "Bacterial small subunit ribosomal RNA", at positions 355 to 776 of the family's 1533-position model. The record is from RNAcentral.